GUGGGGAAUCUUGCGCAAUGGGCGAAAGCCUGACGCAGCGACGCCGCGUGAGCGAUGAAGGCCUUCGGGUUGUAAAGCUCUGUGGAGGGAGACGAAUAAGUCGGAACUAACAUUUCCGAUGAUGACGGUACCCCUUUAGCAAGCACCGGCUAACUCUGUGCCAGCAGCCGCGGUAAGACAGAGGGUGCAAACGUUGUUCGGAAUCACUGGGCGUAAAGCGUGUGUAGGCGGCUUUGUAAGUCGGAUGUGAAAGCCCCGGGCUCAACCUGGGAAGUGCACUCGAUACUGCAGAGCUUGAGUACUGGAGAGGUUGGUGGAAUUCUCGGUGUAGAGGUGAAAUUCGUAGAUAUCGGGAAGAACAUCGGUGGCGAAGGCGGCCAACUGGACAGAUACUGACGCUGAGACACGAAAGCGUGGGGAGCAAACAGGAUUAGAUACCCUGGUAGUCC
Molecule: ribosomal RNA, 449 nt
Filed under: uncultured bacterium
Lineage: Bacteria
Description: bacterial SSU rRNA
Rfam family: Bacterial small subunit ribosomal RNA
Source: RNAcentral